AUCAGCUCUCAAAAUUUACCUGUAAGUCGACGAUGACCCACUUCGGUGGGGGAUUAGUGGCGAACGGGUGAGUAACACGUGGGCAAUCUGCCCUGCACUCUGGGACAAGCCCUGGAAACGGGGUCUAAUACCGGAUACGACCACUUCAGGCAUCUGAUGGUGGUGGAAAGCUCCGGCGGUGCAGGAUGAGCCCGCGGCCUAUCAGCUUGUUGGUGAGGUAACGGCUCACCAAGGCGACGACGGGUAGCCGGMMKGAGAGRSCGGACCGGCMWCAYYGGRACUGGAAGACCACGKSCMAGACUCCCUAACKGGAGGCAGCAGUGGGGRAWAUAUGCACCAAUUGGGCGAAAGCCUGAAUGCAGCGACGCCCGCGUGGAAGGGAUGACGGCCUUCGGGUKGUAAACCUCUUUCAGCARGGAAGAAGCGAAAGUGACGGUACCUGCAGAAGAAGCGCCGGCUAACUACGUGCCAGCAGCCGCGGUAAUACGUAGGGCGCAAGCGUUGUCCGGAAUUAAUUGGGCGUAAAGAGCUCGUAGGCGGCUUGUCGCGUCGGAUGUGAAAGCCCGGGGCUUAACCCCGGGUCUGCAUUCGAUACGGGCAGGCUAGAGUUCGGUAGGGGAGAUCGGAAUUCCUGGUGUAGCGGUGAAAUGCGCAGAUAUCAGGAGGAACACCGGUGGCGAAGGCGGAUCUCUGGGCCGAUACUGACGCUGAGGAGCGAAAGCGUGGGGAGCGAACAGGAUUAGAUACCCUGGUAGUCCACGCCGUAAACGUUGGGAACUAGGUGUGGGCGACAUUCCACGUCGUCCGUGCCGCAGCUAACGCAUUAAGUUCCCCGCCUGGGGAGUACGGCCGCAAGGCUAAAACUCAAAGGAAUUGACGGGGGCCCGCACAAGCGGCGGAGCAUGUGGGCUUAAUUCGACGCAACGCGAAGAACCUUACCAAGGCUUGACAUACACCCGGAAACACYCAGAGAUGGGUGCCCCCCUUGUGGUCGGUGUACAAGGUGGGUGCAUGGCUGUCCGUCAGCUCGUGUCCGUGAGAUGUUGGGGUUAAGUCCCCGCAAACGAGCGCAACCCCUUUGUCCCGUGUUUGCCCAGCAGSCCCUUGGUGGUGCUGGGGGACUCCACGGGAGAACCCCGCCGGRGUCCAACCUCCGGAAGGAARGCUGGGGUACGAACGUUCUAAGGUCAUCAUUGCMCYUUAUGUCCUUGGGCUUGCACCACCGUGUCCUACAAUKGCCGRUACAARGAKMURCRAWACMRUGAGGWGGAGCGAAUCUCAAAAAGCCGGUCUCAGUUCGGAUUGGGGUCUGCAACUCGACCCCAUGAAGUCGGAGUCGCUAGUAAUCGCAGAUCAGCAUUGCUGCGGUGAAUACGUUCCCGGGCCUUGUACACACCGCCCGUCACGUCACGAAAGUCGGUAACACCCGAAGCCGGUGGCCCAACCCUGUGGAGAGCUACGAAUCUAAAGCGCCCA
This 1476-nucleotide ribosomal RNA is filed under the name Streptomyces thermolilacinus. Its description in RNAcentral is "partial 16S ribosomal RNA". Lineage: Bacteria; Bacillati; Actinomycetota; Actinomycetes; Kitasatosporales; Streptomycetaceae. The record is from RNAcentral.